This is a long non-coding RNA of Uloborus diversus, 1203 nucleotides long. RefSeq lists it as uncharacterized. The record is from RefSeq and is a predicted model, not a curated record. NCBI's taxonomy places the organism in Eukaryota, Metazoa, Arthropoda, Arachnida, Araneae, Uloboridae. The transcript is spliced from 3 exons.
GCCGAAACAGAAACACGCGCGCCAAAAAUAUCUGAUGAGUUCGACACAGAAACUUUGAUAGAACUUGUAAAAAACCACCCUGUAGUAUGGGAUGUCAACAACCCUUUACACAGAGAUAAAUUUGAAAAAGAUUCAACUUGGCAGAAAAUAGCAAGUUCCCUUGUCGAAGGUUUUGAAGAGAGACUGCCCCUUGAAAAAAAGGACAUUGCAAAAAGAGUCCAAUCCCGAUGGAGGAAUAUAAGAGAUAAUUAUUUAAAAACGCAAAAGAAAAGAAACCAACAGCCUGAGCCAAAAGGUAGAGUCUACGUUUAUGCCAAACAUUUGUUUUUCCUGAACUCCAUAUAUAGUUCGGAAAAAUCGAAACCGAUGCCGAGCCUUGAGGUGGACCCAGAUGGUCUGAUCGCUGGUUGCAGCUCAGAAUCGUUUUCAGAAAUGACAGCAAGCACUCCUCGACAAAGUACAACAACGAACCCUUCUACUCGGAGUUUAUUGAGAUGGGAAGCUCCCUCGGAUCAGCACCGAAUAGAUAUUGACAACAGGUCUAUGUUCAUGAAACCGAUGGUGAGCAUCAAGUUGGAACCAGAUGAUCCAAUCGGUGAAUACAGCUCUGACUCUCUUUCAGAAACUACAGCAUGGACUCAUCCACAAACUACAACAACGAACCCUUCUACACGGGGUUUGUCGAAAUCAGAAGCAACCCCGGAGCAGCACCGAAUGGAUGUUGACAACAGUUCAGUGUACAAAUAUAUAAAUCAAAGUAUUCUGGUUGAACCUGUUGACGAGGACCGAGCAUUUUUUGAUUCUCUUCUGCCCACGCUCAAAUCUUUGACGAAUGAUCAGAAAUUAGAAUUCCGUGUGGAAGUCUUGAAUUCGCUCAGGCGGAUUAAACGAGCUGCUACUUUACUUCAACCUUCAAUAAUCCCAGAUGUACAACAUUAGGGUGAGCCGUUUUUUUUUUUUUUUUUUUUUUUUUUGAAAUUCAUUUUUGCGAAGCGUUUAAAAGUUGCAUAAUAAGUUAACAAGAACGCCAAAAAAAUUCUUGAAUAUUAAAAGAUAUCUAGCUGCGCCCCUUUGCUUCUGAAGAACAGAAAAAAAAAAGAAAAGAAAUCUUCUUUUUUGUAAAAAUAUAUAUGUUGAAAUAAAGUCCAAAUAUUUUACCUUUUUGGUGCUUUUGUUGUUGUUUCUACUUUUAUAUGUUUUCAC